This is a non-coding RNA of Paramuricea clavata, 399 nucleotides long. Lineage: Eukaryota; Metazoa; Cnidaria; Anthozoa; Malacalcyonacea; Plexauridae. The record is from the annotation of a GenBank genome assembly.
GCUAGAUCUUCUGUACAACAUUUAAUUUCUGUUAAUUAACCAGCAUUUGAUCUUUUGUUUAGCCUUAUUUCAAUACAUCAAAAUCAUCCCACCUUCCAACAUGUAAAUAGCCCAUAAGAUACCUGUUCAGGAAGUGGGAAAAAUGCAAUUUGAAUAUCAAACACCUUGUACAAAAUCAAAGGUUAGCUAAAUAUUCUAAUUCUACUUUCUUAGCAUGGCCUGCAUGGACGGUAUAAUAUGAAUAUUUUCAAUGCUUAUAAUUUCUUACUUUUGUAUGUAUAAUUAUAAUACUGUCUGUGGCAAAGCUAGCCAUAACAUUUAUAUUUGCAUUAUCCAAAUGAUAUACUGUAGCAUGACCAGUUGCCAUGGCAAGCUAAUUGCCACUAAAUACUGUAUAAU